CAGCCGCCGCGGGAAUACGUAGGGUGCGAGCGUUAAUCGGAAUUACUGGGCGUAAAGCGUGCGCAGGCGGUUAUAUAAGACAGAUGUGAAAUCCCCGGGCUCAACCUGGGACCUGCACUUGUGACUGUAUAGCUAGAGUACGGUAGAGGGGGAUGGAAUUCCGCGUGUAGCAGUGAAAUGCGUAGAUAUGCGGAGGAACACCGAUGGCGAAGGCAAUUCCCUGGACCUGUGCUGACGCUCAUGCACGAAAGCGUGGGGAGCAAACAGGAUUAGAACCCCCGUAGUCCCUGUCUCUUAUACA
This 301-nucleotide ribosomal RNA is filed under the name uncultured bacterium. Its description in RNAcentral is "partial 16S ribosomal RNA". It matches the Rfam family "Bacterial small subunit ribosomal RNA", at positions 509 to 808 of the family's 1533-position model. The record is from RNAcentral.